Long non-coding RNA from Oncorhynchus tshawytscha (Chinook salmon), 723 nucleotides. RefSeq lists it as uncharacterized. The transcript has 4 exons. The record is from RefSeq and is a predicted model, not a curated record. Lineage: Eukaryota; Metazoa; Chordata; Actinopteri; Salmoniformes; Salmonidae.
CUGUGAGAGGUGUGGAUGGGUGGGGCAGGUACAGCAUCUGCAGAAAGAGUAUAAAACAGGGCUGCAGAGGGCAGAGAGACACCACACUACUACUGACGUCCAGAAGACAUCAUCCAGAUAAACAGCCAUCAAUCAGAAAGCAUCGUCCAGCUGAAAGAGUAAAGGAUGAAGAUCCAGAGUAUGUUACUGCUGUUCGCUCUAGUGGGUGUCCUGUUAGCAAGCUCCCUCAAUAAAGAUAACUCUGAGGAAGCUCUCCUGCAGGAGGAUGAUGCAAAAAAUGGAAUGGCUGCCUUUUUGGCAAAGUUGGCUACUCUGAAGACCAGCCCCUCUGAAGAUGAAGCAGCAUUUUGGGGCGCGCUUUGGAACGUAGCCAAGGAACUUGUUGGGUGAGAAGCGACCAGCAUGGGGAUGCCAAGGAUCCUUUUCAGUCUCCAUAUGGAAUCAGCUAUCACCUCUGAAGUCAUCACUAACAUUACCUCAGUGAAUCAUUCCAACAACCAUCAAUCAAUGAUUGUCAAAAAACAACAACAGUAAUACAGUUAAUUGGUACUUUGGUUCUGAGAAGAACUCAUCAACAUUCUGAAGAAUAUAUGUUUUAUCCAUGAACAUGUACUUUAUGUCCUGACACAUGAUAGUUGAUUGGUCAAGUUAGUGGAUAAAUAAUUGUAUGGUUGUAUGGUUGACUUGUCAUAUUGUGAUCCUCCAAUAAACUAUCAAGCAUAA